GACGAACCGUGCGAACGUUGUUCGGAAUCACUGGGCUUAAAGGGCGCGUAGGCGGGUGUGCAAGUCUGCGGUGAAAGCCUCCAGCUUAACUGGAGAAGUGCCGUGGAUACUGCAUAUCUUGAGGAGGGUAGGGGCAUCUGGAACAUUGGGUGGAGCGGUGAAAUGCGUUGAUAUCCAAUGGAACUCCGGUGGCGAAGGCGAGGUGCUGGACCCUUUCUGACGCUGAGGCGCGAAAGCGUGGGGAGCGAUCCGG
RNAcentral lists this ribosomal RNA (253 nucleotides) under uncultured bacterium. RNAcentral describes it as "partial 16S ribosomal RNA". It matches the Rfam family "Bacterial small subunit ribosomal RNA", at positions 524 to 776 of the family's 1533-position model. The record is from RNAcentral.